UGAUGACAGUGCUGUAGGGUGGUGGAGUUGAAAGUCCACCUCUGUGUUCCAGUAGAGAGUGGAGAACAAAGUCAUUUCACAGUGGAAGCCAUGAAUUCAGCAGUGGCUUGUCCUCACCUCACACACAGACAAAAUUAUGUGGAAACAUAUGUGUGAAGAACUGGAGGAGCCUGGCAGCUGCUCUCUCUAACCCAUUUGUCAUAGGAACACAAGUAACGUGGAGCAGACCGCAACAAAAUGGAGCAGCCAAUCUGCAGCUGUGGGCUGGGAUUUUAAUGGUAUCCAGUGAAACCAUCUUCGUGGCUGUCAAAUACAUGUACCUUGGAAUCGCACACCCAUACAUUUAUGGCCAGGAUCACUGUCUUUCACCAACUGGAGUCUUCUCAUUCAUCACACUAGAGUUGAAGACUAAUGAGAGAUGCCACAGAAGACACCUGAAUUUCCAGUAGAUACAAAAGGGAAA
This 463-nucleotide long non-coding RNA is filed under the name Numida meleagris (helmeted guineafowl). Its description in RNAcentral is "lncRNA (ENSNMEG00000019186.1)". Lineage: Eukaryota; Metazoa; Chordata; Aves; Galliformes; Numididae. The record is from RNAcentral.